Molecule: ribosomal RNA, 253 nt
Filed under: uncultured bacterium
Lineage: Bacteria
Description: partial 16S ribosomal RNA
Rfam family: Bacterial small subunit ribosomal RNA
Source: RNAcentral
UACGUAGGGGGCAAGCGUUAUCCGGAUUUACUGGGUGUAAAGGGAGCGUAGACGGAUGGAUAAGUCUGAAGUGAAAGCCCGCGGCUCAACUGCGGGACUGCUUUGGAAACUGUGCAUCUUGAGUACGGGAGGGGCAGGCGGAAUUCCUGGUGUAGCGGUGAAAUGCGUAGAUAUCAGGAGGAACACCGGCGGCGAAGGCGGCCUGCUGGACCGAAACUGACGUUGAGGCUCGAAAGCGUGGGGAGCAAACAGG